UUGUUAUCAAGAAAGGUGGAGGGAAUAGACCCUUUGAAGCCUUAGCAACCCUUUGAUCAUUUAUUAAAGAAGGUGCUAAAUUCUACCUAAAUACUGGGCCAAAUUAUUA
Molecule: non-coding RNA, 109 nt
Organism: Arenibacter sp.
Lineage: Bacteria; Pseudomonadati; Bacteroidota; Flavobacteriia; Flavobacteriales; Flavobacteriaceae
Source: Rfam